CCUACGGGAGGCAGCAGUGGGGAAUAUUGCACAAUGGGGGAAACCCUGAUGCAGCAACGCCGCGUGAGCGAUGAAGGCCUUCGGGUCGUAAAGCUCUGUCCUAAGGGAAGAAUACUGACGGUACCUUAGGAGGAAUCCCUGUCUAACUACGUGCCAGCAGCCGCGGUAAUACGUAGGGGGCUAGCGUUAUCCGGAAUCACUGGGUGUAAAGGGUGCGUAGGCGGUAGGGCAAGUCAGAUGUGAAAGGCCGGAGCACAGCUCCGGGAUUGCAAUUGAAACUGUCUUACUAGAGUGUAGGAGAGGAGAGUGGAAUUGCAAGUGUAGCGGUGAAAUGCGUAGAUAUUGGGAGGAACAUCAGUUGCGAAGGCGGCUCACUGGACUGUAACUGACACUGAGGCACGAAAGCGUGGGGAGCGAACAAGAUUAGAUACCCCAGUAGUC
This 441-nucleotide ribosomal RNA is filed under the name uncultured bacterium. RNAcentral's name for it is "bacterial SSU rRNA". It matches the Rfam family "Bacterial small subunit ribosomal RNA", at positions 338 to 795 of the family's 1533-position model. The record is from RNAcentral.